UACGGGGGGGGCAAGCGUUGUUCGGAAUUACUGGGCGUAAAGGGCUCGUAGGCGGCCAACUAAGUCAGACGUGAAAUCCCUCGGCUUAACCGGGGAACUGCGUCUGAUACUGGAUGGCUUGAGAUUGGGAGAGGGAUGCGGAAUUCCAGGUGUAGCGGUGAAAUGCGUAGAUGUCUGGAGGAACACCGGUGGCGAAGGCGGCAUCCUGGACCGAUACUGACGCUGAGGAGCGAAAGCCAGGGGAGCAAACGGG
This 253-nucleotide ribosomal RNA is filed under the name uncultured bacterium. RNAcentral's name for it is "partial 16S ribosomal RNA". It matches the Rfam family "Bacterial small subunit ribosomal RNA", at positions 524 to 776 of the family's 1533-position model. The record is from RNAcentral.